AUGAGAAAAUGAUGUUGGAAAUCCUGUCCUGCUGUUAUUAAACCUUUUUGACAUUGUCAUGAAAAAAUUCUUAGUGAAUUAAAACAACAGACCAAUUUCUAAUAAUCUGAUAUGACAUAAGAAACGAUAUAAUUGUCUUUGAGGUCAUAAAGAGUAAAAUUUCCGUAAUAUACAACUCUUGGUGUGUUUAUGUAUCAUGUCCUAAAAUAACCUAUUUGUUCUCCAUUUAGUUUUAUGUGCAGACAGAAACAUAAUUUAUAUAUUUCAUAAAAAAAUAACCUACAAGGCUUGACAUGGCUUCCCCGCUAAAAGACCAAACUGUGGCUAAGAAGCUGGUAGAGAACUUGCAGACUGAUUUAAGAGGACUCUCUGCAGAGGCAAAGAAGAAACACCCAAAUAUCAAAGAGAUUUCAGAAAAAAUUCAGUUAAAAUUGAGGACAAUAACUGCUAAAAAUGAAGGAAUCAUAGCAGGUUUAAUACCAGCUAGUGCAGAAAUUGUUCAACCCUUUGUAAUGGGAUGCGAUACUAAAAAUCCAAAAAUUAUGCAGAUUUGUUUAGGAGGUGUUCAGAGGUUAAUCUCACAUGAAGCAGUGUCAAUGACUGCUGCCGAUAGUGUUAUUAGUAUGUUAUGGCACCUAAUGGAAUCAGGACAAGAAGAGCUCAAAGUUUUACAGACAGCUAUUAUAUUAAUUACAACUAAUUCUGUUGUUCAGCACGAAUCAUUGGCCAAGGCACUGGUAUUAUGUUUUCGUCUCCACUUCACAAAAGACUCCACAACAAUCAACACAGCUGCUGCCACCAUCAAACAGUUAGUCAGUAUCGUGUUUGAAAGAGUGUUAUCAGAAGAUAGGGUCAAGUCUCAAGCUCCACUAGAACAAAUGAAACUUGAAGAAUUAAAGAUUGGAAGUAAAACACCACCACAUUCUUUACAGCCUUGUGGUGGUGAUGCCUACUUACUGUUUCAGGAUCUCUGUCAAUUAGUGAAUGCAGACCAGCCUUUUUGGUUAGUUGGGAUGACAGAAAUGACCAGAACAUUUGGUCUAGAACUCUUAGAAGCAGUUCUCACAUCAUUUCCUGAAAUAUUUCACACACAUUCAGAAUUUAGUUUUUUGCUGAAAGAAAGAGUAUGUCCACUGGUUAUUAAACUGUUCUCACCAAGUCUGAAAUACAGACAGGGGUUGCCUCCCCCUCCUUCGCCAGCACCAGUUGAGAAGCCAUUUUACCCAAUAGUGAUGAGGUUACUCAGAAUUGUCUCAUCAUUGAUAAAGAAAUACUACUCAUUAUUGACAACAGAAUGUGAAAUAUUCUUAUCACUGUUAGUGAAAUUUUUAGACCCUGAAAAACCUAGUUGGCAGAGAUGUUUAGCUCUUGAAGUCUUACACAAACUUAGUAUACAACCAGAGUUGAUAAGAUGUUUUUGUCAGAGUUAUGAUAUGAAACAACAUUCCACAAAAAUAUUUCGUGACAUGGUAAAUGGUUUAGGAUCAUAUAUACAGUCACAGUUUAUGACAACAUCUACUGGUCAGGGUUCUCAGAGUGGAAACAAAGCUCCUGAUAUACAAGGAACACCACCAGCCUUGGUAGGAGGAAUGCCUGUAGGAGGGGGUGUUACUCCACAAGCAGCUUUUAUGUACAGAGGAGUGUGGAUUCCUCUAGCAGUAACUGUGCCUCAGGGUCAAACUAAAUCUAUGUUAUUAGAGUUGUUAGACAGAGUUGACCCACCAGCUGUACAGGAUGGUUAUGGUAUGUCACUAGCCUUCUACAGUCUGUUGGAACUUAACAGAAGUGUACAGUUCAUUAUAGAGGGAGAAACUAAAGAUGUAACACCAGGAAAGAACAAACCUAAAGCCAAGAAACAAAUCACUGAUGAAGAAAGAAAGCUACAAGAAGAAUUGAUUAAUUCCUCAUGGUGUGGGAUGUUAGCUGCCUUUUCCUUACUAUUGGAUGCAAGUACUGAUGAAAGUGCAACAGAAGCUGUACUCAAGGCCAUGAAGACAUAUGCUAAUUUAUGUGGACAGCUUGAAAUGACAACACCUAGAGAUGCUUUUAUCACUGCCUUAUGUAAAGCCUCACUACCUCCUCAUUAUACACUGACGGUACUGAACUCACAGAGUAUAGCUCAGUCUGCCCAGAAAGGUCACCAAAGAUUUGCUAGUCAAGACUUACAGACUCAAGGAUCAGAGGCUAUAGAGAGGAGUCAGGUUGUAGCUGUUGGCUCUCCACUACCUACUGCAUCACUGCCUGUUGGAGCACACCAAGGACCAGUUAUGUUAACAGCUAAAAAUAUCCAAUGUAUGAGGUCACUGCUAUCAGUGGCACACUGCCAUGGUGGCAUACUAGGUACAGCGUGGCAUUUAGUACUGACCACACUUCAGCAUUUAGUAUGGAUAUUAGGGUUGAAACCAUCGUCUGGUGGAACUCUGAAAUCUAGUCAGAACACUACAGAAAGUAGCAAUGCUGUUAUAACAACUGCUGUCAUGGCUGACCUUCCUGUACUGUCUGCCAUGUUGUCUAGACUCUUUGAAAGCUCACAGUACUUGGAUGAUGUAGCACUCCACCAUCUGAUAGAUGCUCUGUGUAAAUUGUCAGCCGAGUCAAUGGAGUUGGCCUUCUCUAACAGAGAACCAUCAUUAUUUGCAGUAGCCAAGCUGUUAGAAACUGGUUUAGUAAAUCUGUCUCGUGUUGAAGUGCUCUGGAGACCCGUAACAGCCCACCUUUUGGAGGUAUGUGUUUACAAAGUUUUAAGAUUUGUGAUCAACUUGUGACUUAUGUGAAAUGUUUCAGAUUGUAUGAAUGUUCUCAUUAAUAUAAGAAUAUCAUUUUCAUUUAGAAAUCAACUUGAUUUUUUGGAAAAUGCUCUCUAUUUCCUGGUACAUGUAAUUAAUUUUCAUGCAAAGAGCUUUAAAAAAAAAUAUAGAUAUUCAAAAACUAUUUUGGAUAUACAGUGUUAUGUAUAGCUGUAAUUUGAACAUUCAUACAUUUUUGAAAUGCAUGCAAUUAAAGAGAAGAAAUGCCUGUUUAUUUAAUUAAUUUGAAAAAUAUAACCUUUGAAAUUGAACUGAGUAUAAGCAUGGAGAAGAAUGGUAGUUUGGUGAAGAUCAGAUUCAGCAUAUGAAGACACAGUCAAGAACAGACUUGAGGUAGACAGCACUGUUGGUAUGGCAGAAUUGGUUGCAUUGUAGCAAAAAAAGGGGGGUUGACAGAAUGGAAGGAAUCUGCAGAUAUCAAGUUAAAAUUUAAAAGCUUUGAAAAUUAGAUUGAAAGAGUCCAUAGAGAAAGAAGUAAAUAAAAGAAAAUACAGGCCAGAAGCCAGUCUUGAUACAGGUGCCACAGUAGAGUUGGAAUGAAAAGAGAAGGAAUUGAAAAAAACAUUUGCAGAGCAGCAGAAGACAGCCAAGCAGAAAAAGAACUGUGUAAUUGUUUAUGGUUCUUAAAGAAAAUGACCUGAAUUUUAAAAGAAAUAGAGGAACAGCAAAUAGCAGAAUGUUCAGCACAGUAAGAUCUACAAUUGGUUAGAAAUGUAAUGAAGAAAAAAGAGUAAGAUGACAUAUCCCUUGAAACAUUCCACUUGUAUGUACAGAUUUCUGGAUCAAGUUUUACAAUGUACUAAAAUCCAAGACUAUUGAAUUAACAGAAAGAAGUUUUUUGUGAGAUCUGUUUGUAGACAGACAGAAAUUGAUCAAGUGAUCUGAAAAAGAUUGUGUUCUUUCUGUGAGAUAUGGUUGACUUUUCAUUAGGUCAAACAGCCAAAUCAGGGAAAAGCAAGAAAAUAUCAGAUUGAAAAAAAAAGUUCUUCCAUUUGGAUAUCAAAACCGGGAAUGCAUGACAUAUGAUGAAACCGAUAUCCUCGUCUUUCCAGUGGGCAAGUCUACUUCGUUUUUUACAUGGAGAAUUAUGAUACUACUACCCUAAAAAGGUUGUUAUCUACAGGAAAAAGGAUGAAAAAACAGGAAAAAGAUUACUGUACCUGCCAAAUUAAGUAAAAAAUAUAUACUUUUUCGCCCCUUCCAUCAGUUCAUUAGUCUGUCCAACCAUGCAUAGCUUUAUUGUUGCCUCAUGCUUAAGCCCCUUCAUUUUUUG
This is an RNA transcript of Mytilus californianus (California mussel), 4080 nucleotides long. It is a transcript of the gene named protein MON2 homolog, with no coding region annotated. Lineage: Eukaryota; Metazoa; Mollusca; Bivalvia; Mytilida; Mytilidae. The transcript has 28 exons. The record is from RefSeq and is a predicted model, not a curated record.